UUACUGUUGGGCCAAAUUCUUUACGCUAAUCAUUCUUCGUCUGUCCCGACAUUGACUGUUCUUUCUUUCUGUUUAAAAUCUAAUCGCUACUGUAGCUAAUAUUCCACCUUUGGAAGCGACAAGAAAAAGCGAACGACUCGAAUGGUCCUCGCGAGUUUCCGUAGGGACCGCAGUGCGGCCCGGGCCACGCCCACCGGCCGGUGUGGGAUGAGAGAGCUGGAUGCAGGAGGAGGAAGAGAUGGGAGCAUGAUGCUCCCCACGGGAUGGGGCUUCAAUCGGUUUAUCGCCGGAGAGCGCCGCAAAGAACAAAUCAUGGAAAUAAACAUGUCAAACGUGAGCGGCAAGUGCGUGUGCGUCACGAAGACCCCCACCCCGCGCCGCGCCGCGCCAUCCCCACCCAGGCCGGCCGUCUCGCCCUGUUGCUCGCCGGCUUACCCUUCUCGAUGUCGGCCACGGCGCACUUGAGGUUCUCCUCCGCGACCAUCUCGCCGAGGACCACCAGCAGUGGGGACAAGGAGUGGCUCCGGCUGCCUGCAAGCCCCCCACCACCCCCCCCUUUUUUUUCUUUUUCUGCACACUCACCGCACAGCUGAUGUCACGGGCAACGAAUCAAACGCACCCUCCCGGAAGAAAGCGGGAUGAUGAGGAGGAUGACAAUUCCGUGUACGUCUCUCAUCGAUCCUUCAAUGGCAUCUCACUUCAACGAUGAUGGAGGUGCCCCACAGGUUUUCCAUCAGUGCUACUCGGGUCGCGUAGGACCUCGCCCCUCCUAUGACAAAGAGCUCAUUUGAAAAAAUGGACGAAAUAAGUCCAUUAAGAUUGGCUGGGCAAAUUGGGUGGGGUCGGAACCUUGGAAAAUUCUUCAAAAUGCUCUGAAACCGCCAAUAUUAAAUCAAACAAACAUUUUGGGGAGGAAACACCACCGAUAGCAGGAAUUUCCCUUUCCAAAGCAAAAUCAAAAGGCGUGCCCACAGACACAGGCAGGCAGAGAGCUUGAAAGCAAACGAUAAAAGAGCAAGCGAUCACAGAGAAAGGAAGCAAGAGGAGCGACGCCAGGGGAUGACAGCCAACAUCAAAAACGCUUUUCCAACAGACAAAAACCAAAAUAGCAAUGUGCUGAUCAUCAAGUCACGUGUACUGCAUAGUCAUCAUCUGGAUCAAUAGACUUUCUAAUGCCAGAUCGAGAGAAUAGCUUUCAUAACUCAACAAUACUGCUCGCAUUUAUCGGAAAACUUUGCAUCACGUUGAUUACGGUGCCGACAGCACCACCUAGCGGCGAUAAUUGGCUACAGCCUUUCUUGCCAACUCUUGUUUUUUUUUGGUCCACCUUUUCCUCCCACUGUCCCGUUUGGGUCCCCAGUGCUGAGCAAAUGACACAUCGUCAGGAUAAAGUGGCGACUUUGGGAAAGUUUUGGAAGUUCUUGUGAGCCACUUGAAGUUGUCCUUCCCAUCAUGUGCAUGGGGCUUGAUUGCUCACUUUGUCUUCAUUGAGAGCCCAAAAAAAGAACACAGGACAAUCCAAAAAUAAAAAAUAAAAACUCUGUUGCUUGAUAAAACAAACACAAAAAUAUCAGGCUGAGCUGCGUUAUCGCACUGAGCCGCAAAUAUUCCGCCCCCGGUGGAAUAGCUCUUGAAAACGUUGCCCCUUUUUCCUGGGAACGCGCUUAUCUCGGAUCCACCACGCAGGGUUCGACAAUAUGAUGCUGCUAAUUUGUUCACACAAAGCGACAGAGCCUCUUUUUUCCCAUUGGUGCCAAAUUUGAGAUUGUGCUAAAGUGUGAAAUAGUUUCCUCAAUGAACAUGAACAAACAAUAAAGAGCAAAUUUGAGCCGA
Long non-coding RNA from Syngnathus acus (greater pipefish), 1833 nucleotides. RefSeq lists it as uncharacterized. Lineage: Eukaryota; Metazoa; Chordata; Actinopteri; Syngnathiformes; Syngnathidae. The record is from RefSeq and is a predicted model, not a curated record. The transcript is spliced from 2 exons.